AUGCUUAUUGAUCUUGGAGACUUUGUCACCUUAAUUGUGAUGCAUGCUUGUUUAAUUGAGCUUAUUGCAUUUGGUUGUUCUCGCAUCAUAUGCCUCCAUACUAUGAAAUGCUCCCUUGUCCUUUCUUAUGAUGAGCAUGAUGCAUACACUUGUUGGGUAUCUUACCACACGAAUGAUAGGUUUUCCACUUCUGCUAACCUCAUUUGUUUUUCCGAGUGUUUGUCAUGUUCUUUCGUUUUGAAGGAUUCACAAGGCGGUACCAUGACGAGACAACUUGGUCAUGUGAAGGCGUACACGAUGCACGACACCAACAUUUUCGACAUUCUCAUAAAGGUGAACUCCUUCCUUUUGAGCCAUCCUCACAUAUGCAUAUUGGAUGGGUCAUUCUUUCAUUUUUGUCUCCUUCUUCUUGUCUACAUGAUACAUCUAUCGGAUGGAGGACAGACAUUGGAGAUGGACCCUAUGGACUUUCAAGUUGAGGAGUGCCAUGACAUCGAGCCAUGGUACAACACCACCCAUAACAAAUUUGCAUCUUAUGCGUGGAUUGACUCACAUAAUGAUUGCCUUGUUGCAUCUUCUAUUCCCAUGUCAUCCAUGAUAGAUGAGCUUGUGCAUUUCCUUAGCAAAUUUGUUGUGAUCUCUCUUGAUGGCAUAUUCAUACAUAAUGAUCAUAUUACCUAUCAUCAAUUGCAUGAUCACAUAGUCACAUCGAGCACCAAUUAUCAUGUUCAUGCUUUUGAUACACCAUCCCAUUAUGACAUCAUUUUCCAUAAUGGUUGCCUUGAUCACAUUCACAACACCUUUGUGUGCACAAUGAAUGAAUUUACUACCAUGAAUGCAUUACAUAUCAUUCCACAUCUUUUGGAUAAGCAUCAUGUGUCUUGCCAUGCACAAUAUUUUUGA
This 903-nucleotide ribosomal RNA is filed under the name Triticum aestivum (bread wheat). RNAcentral's name for it is "partial small subunit ribosomal RNA". Lineage: Eukaryota; Viridiplantae; Streptophyta; Magnoliopsida; Poales; Poaceae. The record is from RNAcentral.